RNAcentral lists this ribosomal RNA (301 nucleotides) under uncultured bacterium. RNAcentral's name for it is "partial 16S ribosomal RNA". It matches the Rfam family "Bacterial small subunit ribosomal RNA", at positions 509 to 807 of the family's 1533-position model. The record is from RNAcentral.
CAGUAGCCGCGGUAAUACGAAGGGGGCUAGCGUUGCUCGGAAUGACUGGGCGUAAAGGGCGCGUAGGCGGCAGCCAAAGUCAGGCGUGAAAUUCCCGGGCUCAACCUGGGGGCUGCGCUUGAUACUUGGUUGCUUGAGUGGGGAAGAGGGUCGUGGAAUUCCCAGUGUAGAGGUGAAAUUCGUAGAUAUUGGGAAGAACACCGGUGGCGAAGGCGGCGACCUGGUCCUUUACUGACGCUGAGGCGCGAAAGCGUGGGGAGCAAACAGGAUUAAAUACCCGGGUAGUCCCUGUCUCUUAUAC